UAUGCAGAUAAACACCAUGAGGUCAAAAGAGUGUAUGGACUCACUCGACAUACUAUAAAACCAAACUAAUGCAGAUCCUUCAAACCUGAGGAAAAGCCUUACAUAGAGCCAUCAUUCCCCUUGCAAGAGAGUCAUCGCAUGCUGAAAACGCAUUAAAUGAUAGACGAGAUCCGCCCCCCAUCCAUCCCAUUGUAAGUUUGAAACUUGGGAAAAGCGAAUCAAGAUGGAACUUGGAUUCGACUUGGAGUAUGUGCGACGUGAAGGGAGUAUUGAGUAGUCAUUGAACAACGUGAUUAACCAUCUAAUGCAUAGGUCUCCCUUUCAUUAAAUCGACUCGUGCCUUCAACUCAUCGAUUUGUACAAUGUGCGUUGUCCUGUUCCGGACUUUUAUCUUCCUUGAUGAAUGAGGUUGAAUUUGCUUGUUGGGUGUGGUAGAAUUGUAGUUGGGGGUAAUCAAGAUGAGUGAUUAAGUGAAAUCUUAUUAAGAACGUGAAGAAUAAGUUGGUAAUCUUAUUAUUUAAUUCAUUAAGCUGCUGAUUAGAUUUUGGGGUGGCAGGAUUGACUUGCCUAUAUUACGGCCAAUCAACCUGGAUAUUAAGUGGGAGAAAAUUGUAUGAAUUUGAUUUUGGAUGUAUCCUAAAUCCGCAAACUGCCAGAGCACCUACGUCAGCUAAUUGGAAGCUUACUUCUCCCCAACGUUCCCGUGCUGGGCCAGUGUGGGAGCCACGCCCGUGAGAAACCAAGAAAAAGGUAUGCAAAGCAAAAGCACCCGAAUAUGCUUUGCUCUCCCCUGCAAAUAUCCCUUCUCUCUUUCCUACUCCCAUGAUCAUCAUCCUCAUCAUUUCUCUAUAAUACUACACCUAUUUCACACACACUCUCUCUCGUUAUCUGAUUUUGGGAACUAUGGAGCUUGUUCAGGAGCUCUUGUUCACAGUUUCUCUUGCUCUCCUCUUCUCUUUUCUUGUGGCCAAACUCGUCUCCCUGGCCAUGGCUGCUGACUUGAAGAGCGCCCAGAAUGUGGAUGAUCACAUCGUUGCCAAUGAGGUUAGGUUUGUAGAAACCGAGACUAGGGUGGAAUCUGUUGAUGGAGGAUCGGGUCUGGUUGAGGAAACUUGUGAAAUUACGCGUGGCGGUGAAGUGCCGGUUUUGCCUUCAGAGGAGGAAGUGUCGGAGAUUGUUGAAUUGCCGGAAAAUUCACCGAGGGAAAGGUCGGGGCAUGAGAUUUUAGUGAGUCGUGAUGUUGCUGUCGUUCAGGAACGUGACGAGAGGGAGUUGGAGAGUGAGGAAGAUGAUUGGGAGGGGGUUGAGAGGAGUGAGUUGGAGAGGGUUUUUGCAGCGGCUGCCAACUUUGUUGGUUCUGGGAACAAGGGUGAUGGGUGGUCAAGUGAUGCGCAGAUGGAAUUGUAUGGACUUCAUAAGAUCGCAGUUGAGGGGCCUUGCCAUGAGCCUCAGCCUAUGCCGCUCAAGAUCUCUGCCCGUGCCAAGUGGAAUGCUUGGCAAAGGAUGGGGAACAUGAGUAGGGAGGUGGCCAUGGAGCAGUAUAUUGCUCUUCUUUCAGAUAGAGUUCCUGGGUGGAUGGAAGCCAGUUCUGCUGGAGAUGACAAACCAGAGUCCUCAGAAGGCGGAAUACAUGAUAUACUGGAUCCUAAUCAAAGCUCAUUGCUGCAUGAUCAAAUAAGUUCAACAAAUGAAACGAAACCAGAACUGAAGUCUGGUACUUUGGGAAUUGAUUUGACUGAGGGUUCAAACUCUGUGAGCACGGAGAAAGAAUGACAAACAUUACCUUGUACUCUAUCUCCACCAUCACAAGGGGGAUUCUACUUUGUCACUGGAGCAGAAUAAGGACUAAUUCCUAUUACCAAGUAUAGUUGAAAUUGUGGUGAUGGUGAGCAGGAUGGUAGUGCUCUGCUAGCACAUUGAAGGGUUUUGGUUGGAUUGAUGUUUCUUUUGUUGUUUGUUCAAGAAAAGCGAUAUGAUUGGAUUUCUUUGCAACUAAAAUGGAGAUAUAGUAGCAUCUUGCUUUUAGUAGAGCUGGAAGUGAAUCAGGUUCAUUACUCAAACAAUCUGAAAUCUGAAUCUUGUUAAAAUGCGAAACUACUGUUUUCCUUAUUAUCAAGUUGUGCUAUAUAUAUGUAUGUUAAGCUUGUUAUCUUUGUUGCUCUGAUGGUUUAACAUUUCUUGGCCCAAGCCAUCUGAUUGGCUGCCUGAUGGAGAUUAAACCUUGAGUGUAGAGAGAGAGAGAGAGAGAGAGAGAGAGAGAGAGAGAGUUCUGUGACAUCAUGUGUAAAGAGGAGUUGAGUUGGAGCAGUCGCCCAACAGUAUAGUUUGGGUUUUGAACCAAAGAUUAAAAAAUAAAAUUGUAUUAGAAUUGGGUUUGCCUCUUGGCUGGUAAUGGUCAAUGUAUGGUGGUUAAAGGGCUUUCUAAGUUCCCUUUUUCCUUUUUACCUCUCAAAA
RNA transcript from Vitis riparia (riverbank grape), 2454 nucleotides. It is a transcript of the gene named acyl-CoA-binding domain-containing protein 3-like, with no coding region annotated. The transcript has 6 exons. The record is from RefSeq and is a predicted model, not a curated record. Lineage: Eukaryota; Viridiplantae; Streptophyta; Magnoliopsida; Vitales; Vitaceae.